This 200-nucleotide ribosomal RNA is filed under the name uncultured bacterium. Its description in RNAcentral is "partial 16S ribosomal RNA". It matches the Rfam family "Bacterial small subunit ribosomal RNA", at positions 29 to 261 of the family's 1533-position model. The record is from RNAcentral.
AACGAACGCUGGCGGCAGGCUUAACACAUGCAAGUCGAACGCUCCGCAAGGAGAGUGGCAGACGGGUGAGUAACGCGUGGGAAUCUACCCAUCUCUACGGAAUAACCCAGGGAAACUUGGACUAAUACCGUAUACGCCCUUCGGGGAAGAUUAUCGGAGAUGGAUGAGCCCGCGUUGGAUUAGCUAGUUGGUGGGGUAAA